UACGUAGGUGGCAAGCGUUGUCCGGAUUUACUGGGCGUAAAGCGCGUGUAGGCGGCUAGAAAAGUCAGAUGUGAAAUCCCUAGGCUUAACCAAGGAACUGCAUUUGAUACUGUCUAGCUUGAGUUUUGGAGGGGGUGGUGGAAUUCCUAGUGUAGAGGUAAAAUUCGUAGAUAUUAGGAGGAACACCAGUGGCGAAGGCGACCACCUGGACAAAAACUGACGCUGAGACGCGAAAGCAUGGGUAGCAAACAGG
RNAcentral lists this ribosomal RNA (253 nucleotides) under uncultured bacterium. RNAcentral describes it as "partial 16S ribosomal RNA". It matches the Rfam family "Bacterial small subunit ribosomal RNA", at positions 524 to 776 of the family's 1533-position model. The record is from RNAcentral.